AGUGAACGCUGGCGGUAGGCCUAACACAUGCAAGUCGAACGGCAGCACAGUAAGAGCUUGCUCUUACGGGUGGCGAGUGGCGGACGGGUGAGGAAUACAUCGGAAUCUACUUUUUCGUGGGGGAUAACGUAGGGAAACUUACGCUAAUACCGCAUACGACCUACGGGUGAAAGCAGGGGGUCUUCGGACCUUGCGCGAUUGAAUGAGCCGAUGUCGGAUUAGCUAGUUGGCGGGGUAAAGGCCCACCAAGGCGACGAUCCGUAGCUGGUCUGAGAGGAUGAUCAGCCACACUGGAACUGAGACACGGUCCAGACUCCUACGGGAGGCAGCAGUGGGGAAUAUUGGACAAUGGGCGCAAGCCUGAUCCAACCAUACCGCGUGGGUGAAGAAGGCCUUCGGGUUGUAAAGCCCUUUUGUUGGGAAAGAAAAGCAGCAGGUUAAUACCCCGCUGUUCUGACGGUACCCAAAGAAUAAGCACCGGCUAACUUCGUG
Molecule: ribosomal RNA, 492 nt
Filed under: uncultured bacterium
Lineage: Bacteria
Description: partial 16S ribosomal RNA
Rfam family: Bacterial small subunit ribosomal RNA
Source: RNAcentral